Long non-coding RNA from Apis laboriosa (Himalayan honeybee), 722 nucleotides. RefSeq lists it as uncharacterized. The record is from RefSeq and is a predicted model, not a curated record. NCBI's taxonomy places the organism in Eukaryota, Metazoa, Arthropoda, Insecta, Hymenoptera, Apidae. The transcript has 3 exons.
CUAAAAUCGAGAAAAAUCGAGAAAAAUUGAGAAAAAUCGAGAAAAAUCGAGAAAAAUCGAAAAAACUCGUUUAGGCGAUAAAAGCCAUAGAAUGAUUAUUCUCGAAACGAGAAUCGCUUCUCGAAAGAUAAAGUCGAACUAUCGAUUCGAUCAAUUUAUCGUUCGUGCAAUGGUGCAAGCGUGCAAUUCCGACAAAAAGAGUGCUUUUUAUUGUGAAUAAUACACGAUUAAAAAAUAAUGCGUGAUAACGAUUGAUUACAAUUAAUCGUGAGAUAGAAAUAAUUGUGUAUAGAACGAGAUCUAUCAAAUUAACAGUGCUUUCAUUAAACGUGCUUUGUUUGUUUUGUGAUAGAAUUGGGCACUUUCUAUUCAGGAUGAAUAUAUAAAAAAAAGUAGAAAUAAAUCUCAAAAAAUUGGCAGCGCUGCUCACAGGCAGCACGCGUAUGGAAUCUAUUCGUAUUGCCUUUACAACCGCCGUAAACAAAUUGGUUACACGUCUGACGCCCGGCGUCAUAAUACCAGCGUAACACAGAGCCCGGACAAGGGCCGGGAUCUUUCUCCAAGCGGCAUACGUCUGUCAGUUUUACUGUAAAUAGCAGAAAAACGAGCGUGAUACGUGCGGAUGUCGAAUGAAAGAAAUUGAAAUGGAUGAACAUACCUCGUCUCCUUCCUGGUUGCAAGCAUUGUUGAUGACAAGCGAUUUCCGUUGGGAAGUUAUUAUC